Molecule: ribosomal RNA, 452 nt
Filed under: uncultured organism
Description: partial 16S ribosomal RNA
Rfam family: Bacterial small subunit ribosomal RNA
Source: RNAcentral
ACACUCCUGCGGGAGGCAGCAGUGGGGAAUAUUGGACAAUGGGCGCAAGCCUGAUCCAGCCAUGCCGCGUGAGUGAUGAAGGCCCUAGGGUUGUAAAGCUCUUUCACCGGUGAAGAUAAUGACGGUAACCGGAGAAGAAGCCCCGGCUAACUUCGUGCCAGCAGCCGCGGUAAUACGAAGGGGGCUAGCGUUGUUCGGAUUUACUGGGCGUAAAGCGCACGUAGGCGGACUAUUAAGUCAGGGGUGAAAUCCCGGGGCUCAACCCCGGAACUGCCUUUGAUACUGGUAGUCUUGAGUUCGAGAGAGGUGAGUGGAAUUCCGAGUGUAGAGGUGAAAUUCGUAGAUAUUCGGAGGAACACCAGUGGCGAAGGCGGCUCACUGGCUCGAUACUGACGCUUAGGUGCGAAAGCGUGGGGAGCAAACAGGAUUAGAUACCCGAGUAGUCCCAUGAC